This 1481-nucleotide ribosomal RNA is filed under the name uncultured bacterium. RNAcentral describes it as "bacterial SSU rRNA". The record is from RNAcentral.
AACGAACGCUGGCGGCACGCUUCAUACAUGCAAGUCGCGCGAUUAAGGCCCGCAAGGGCGCAUAAAGCGGCGAACGGGUGCGUAACACGUGGAUAAUCUGCCUUUCGGUGGGGGAUAACGGCUGGAAACGGCCGCUAAUACCGCAUGUGGUUGCGAGGUCUUCGGGCCUUGCAAAGAAAGAGGCCUUUAAAGCCUUGCCGAGAGAUGAGUCCGCGCCCCAUUAGCUAGUUGGCGGGAUAACAGCCCACCAAGGCUUCGAUGGGUAGCCGGGCUGAGAGGUUGAUCGGCCACACUGGGACUGAGACACGGCCCAGACACCUACGGGUGGCAGCAGUAGGGAAUAUUGGACAAUGGGGGAAACCCUGAUCCAGCGAUGCCGCGUGAAUGAUGAAGGCCUUCGGGUCGUAAAGUUCUUUUCUGAGGGAAGAACUGUUGGGCGAGGAAAUGCGCCUGAUUUGACGGUACCUCAGGAAUAAGCAACGGCUAACUCCGUGCCAGCAGCCGCGGUAAUACGGAGGUUGCAAGCGUUGUUSGRAAUAACUGGGCGUAAAGGGAGCGCAGGCGGCNUUGGUNAAGUCUAAAGUGAAAUUNCCAGGGCUCAACCCUGGACAUGCUUUGGAUACUGNCCUGGCUUGAGUACGUGAGAGGAGAUUGGAAUUNCCAGGUGUAGCGGUGAAAUGCGUAGAUAUCUGGAGGAACACCGGUGGCGAAAGCGGAUCUCUGGCACGUUACUGACGCUGAGGCUCGAAAGCAUGGGGAGCAAACGGGAUUAGAUACCCCGGUAGUCCAUGCCGUAAACGUUGUGCGCUAGGUGUAGGAGGUAUCGACCCCUUCUGUGCCGCAGCUAACGCAUUAAGCGCANCCGCCUGGGGAGUACGGUCGCAAGACUGAAACUCAAAGGAANUUGACGGGGGCCCGCACAAGCGGUNGAGCAUGUGGUUUAANUUCGAGGCAACGCGAAGAACCUUACCCAGGCUUGACAUCCCAAGACCGCCUAUGAAAGUAGGUUUUCCCUUCGGGGACUUGGAGACAGGUGUUGCAUGGCUGUCGUCAGCUCGUGUCGUGAGAUGUUGGGUUAAGUCCCGCAACGAGCGCAACCCUUGUCCUUAGUUACCAGCGGGUUAUGCCGGGCACUCUGAGGAGACUGCCGAUGAUAAGUCGGAGGAAGGUGGGGACGACGUCAAGUCAUCACGGCCCUUACGCCUGGGGCUACACACGUGCUACAAUGGUCGGUACAGAGGGACGCAAGAUCGCGAGAUGGAGCCAAUCCCAAAAAGCCGGCCUCAGUUCGGAUUGCAGUCUGCAACUCGACUGCAUGAAGUCGGAAUCGCUAGUAAUCGUGGGUCAGCUACACCACGGUGAAUACGUUCCCGGGCCUUGUACACACCGCCCGUCACAUGACCCGAGUUGGGUGCACCCAAAGCCACUGGCUCAACCAGCAAUGGGGAGAGGUGUCUAAGGUGUGUCUGGUGAGGGGGAUG